AGUUUUGUGAAACCCUGCACAGAAUAAGUAGAUAUUCAUUAUAUGUUAUGCUGAAUGCUUGUGCUUUGAGUGAUAUUAAAUAUGAGUUUUUUUAAUAAUUGUACAGACAUCUAACAUCAAUGGGCGAUGAACAGCAGUUCUCCACGGCCUUCCACUCUUCCUUGAAAAGGACCUUACUGAUUUUUACAAGACAUGUUUUGACUAUGAUGAAGAAGAGAUGUCAGUCGGCCUAUUGACCGUGAUCCCUGAGCUGAGGACUCUAGAGCCAUACCUAACUCACUGCAUUUAAUGCCACAUCUACUGCAAUCAUUUUGGAAGGUACAAUUGUAUUGGAUGAUCUGGAAAAUCCUCUCCAAGACAUAUGCCUGCUCUUUGGACUCAUUUAUGCUAUGAAAUUAUAGUAUCCUCCAGUACUGAAGGACACCUUUGAUUUCAUUCAAUGGCUGAACCUAGAAUGCAAUCUCUGAAAAAUCUUCUGAUGUAGAAAGAUGUCAUUGUGGCGUGAUGGAGCAUUUUUCAGUGUAAUUGUUCAUGAUUGAUCAUUAUUGAUUUAGAAAAUGGUAAAU
Molecule: long non-coding RNA, 566 nt
Organism: Sinocyclocheilus rhinocerous
Lineage: Eukaryota; Metazoa; Chordata; Actinopteri; Cypriniformes; Cyprinidae
Exons: 2
Source: RefSeq, a predicted model, not a curated record